GGGCUUCGGCUCUUAGUAGAGUGGCGAACGGGUGAGUAACGCGUGGGUGACCUACCUCUGAGUGGGGGAUAACGUCCCGAAAGGGACGCUAAUACCGCAUGACAUCCCGCCUUUGAACAGGUGGAGAUCAAAGCCGGGGAUCGCAAGACCUGGCGCUUGAAGAGGGGCCCGCGUCCGAUUAGCUAGUUGGUGAGGUAACGGCUCACCAAGGCGACGAUCGGUAGCCGGCCUGAGAGGGCGGACGGCCACACUGGGACUGAGACACGCCCCAGACUCCUACGGGAGGCAGCAGUGGGGAAUUGUUCGCAAUGGGCGAAAGCCUGACGACGCAACGCCGCGUGGAGGAUGAAGACCUUCGGGUCGUAAACUCCUUUCGAUCGAGACGAAUGGCCUUCCGGCUAAUAACCGGGAGGAAUGACGGUACCGAGAGAAGAAGCCCCGGCUAACUCCGUGCCAGCAGCCGCGGUAAUACGGGGGGGGCAAGCGUUGUUCGGAAUUACUGGGCGUAAAGGGCUCGUAGGUGGCCAACUAAGUCAGACGUGAAAUCCCUCGGCUUAACCGGGGAACUGCGUCUGAUACUGGAUGGCUUGAGUUCGGGAGAGGGAUGCGGAAUUCCAGGUGUAGCGGUGAAAUGCGUAGAUAUCUGGAGGAACACCGGUGGCGAAGGCGGCAUCCUGGACCGACACUGACGCUGAGGAGCGAAAGCCAGGGGAGCAAACGGGAUUAGAUACCCCGGUAGUCCUGGCCCUAAACGAUGAAUGCUUGGUGUGGCGGGUAUCGAUCCCUGCCGUGCCGAAGCUAACGCAUUAAGCAUUCCGCCUGGGGAGUACGGUCGCAAGGCUGAAACUCA
This 850-nucleotide ribosomal RNA is filed under the name uncultured bacterium. RNAcentral's name for it is "bacterial SSU rRNA". It matches the Rfam family "Bacterial small subunit ribosomal RNA", at positions 75 to 903 of the family's 1533-position model. The record is from RNAcentral.